GGGGAGUCUUGAUAAGUUGAGAUGCUCCCUGAUUCAGUCUUCCUAAAAAGAAAUUCUGGGAUUUCCUGCUUGUGGUUCCUGAGCAUGUUCUGUGAGUCUCAAGUUACCAGAUACAUGU
This is a small nucleolar RNA of Ipomoea nil (Japanese morning glory), 118 nucleotides long. It matches the Rfam family "Small nucleolar RNA snoR104". Lineage: Eukaryota; Viridiplantae; Streptophyta; Magnoliopsida; Solanales; Convolvulaceae. The record is from Rfam.